Molecule: transfer RNA, 72 nt
Filed under: Paramesotriton qixilingensis
Lineage: Eukaryota; Metazoa; Chordata; Amphibia; Caudata; Salamandridae
Description: tRNA-Asn
Rfam family: tRNA
About the family: Transfer RNA (tRNA) molecules are approximately 80 nucleotides in length. Their secondary structure includes four short double-helical elements and three loops (D, anti-codon, and T loops).
Source: RNAcentral
UAGAUUAAGGCUCGUUGAUUGAGUGUUUAGCUGUUAACUAAAAGGUCGUAGGAUCAAAGCCUACUAAUCUAG